This 468-nucleotide ribosomal RNA is filed under the name uncultured bacterium. Its description in RNAcentral is "partial 16S ribosomal RNA". It matches the Rfam family "Bacterial small subunit ribosomal RNA", at positions 28 to 507 of the family's 1533-position model. The record is from RNAcentral.
GACGAACGCUGGCGGCGUGCUUAACACAUGCAAGUCGAACGGAAAGGCCCUGCGUUUGUGGGGUGCUCGAGUGGCGAACGGGUGAGUAACACGUGAGUAACCUGCCCUUGACUUUGGGAUAACUCCAGGAAACUGGGGCUCAUACCGGGUAUGAUCUUCUGCUGCAUGGUGGGGGUUGGAAAGUUUCGGCGGUUGGGGCUGGUCUCGCGGCUUAUCAGCUUGUUGGUGUGGUAGUGGCUUACCAAGGCUUUGACGGGUAGCCGGCCUGAGAGGGUGACCGGCCACCAUGGGACUGAGAUACGGACCAGACUGCUACGGGAGGCAGCAGUGGGGAAUAUUGCACAACAGGCGGAAGCGUGAUGUAGCAACGCCGCGUGCGGAAUGACGGGCUUCGGGUUGUAAACCGCUUUCGCAUGUGACGAAGCGUGAGUGACGGUAAUGGGUAAAGAAGCCCCGGCUAACUACGUG